Molecule: ribosomal RNA, 492 nt
Filed under: uncultured bacterium
Lineage: Bacteria
Description: partial 16S ribosomal RNA
Rfam family: Bacterial small subunit ribosomal RNA
Source: RNAcentral
AGUGAACGCUCGCGGUAGGCCUAACACAUGCAAGUCGAACGGCAGCACAGUAAGAGCUUGCUCUUACGGGUGGCGAGUGGCGGACGGGUGAGGAAUACAUCGGAAUCUACUUUUUCGUGGGGGAUAACGUAGGGAAACUUACGCUAAUACCGCAUACGACCUACGGGUGAAAGCAGGGGAGCUUCGGACCUUGCGCGAUUGGAUGAGCCGAUGUCGGAUUAGCUAGUUGGCGGGGUAAAGGCCCACCAAGGCGACGAUCCGUAGCUGGUCUGAGAGGAUGAUCAGCCACACUGGAACUGAGACACGGUCCAGACUCCUACGGGAGGCAGCAGUGGGGAAUAUUGGACAAUGGGCGCAAGCCUGAUCCAGCCAUACCGCGUGGGUGAAGAAGGCCUUCGGGUUGUAAAGCCCUUUUGUUGGGAAAGAAAAGCAGCAGGUUAAUACCCCGCUGUUCUGACGGUACCCAAAGAAUAAGCACCGGCUAACUUCGUG